Non-coding RNA from Poronia punctata, 96 nucleotides. The record is from the annotation of a GenBank genome assembly. NCBI's taxonomy places the organism in Eukaryota, Fungi, Ascomycota, Sordariomycetes, Xylariales, Xylariaceae.
GUGCCGGUGGAGUAGAAGUUAACUCGUUUCCCUCCCAUUCAAGUUUCUUGAAAAGGAAGAAAGGAAAGAACCCGGGUGCAAGUCCCGGCCGGCGCA